UGAAUACGAGACGCUAAGGCGUCGAAGUAGUGUAUGUCAGACUUCCAAGAAAAGCUCGCACUGUCAUAGGUAAAAAAUGCCUGUACCAUAACCGACACAGGUGGGUAGGUAGAGUAUACUAAGGGGCGCGAGAUAACUCUCUCUAAGGAACUCGGCAAAAUGACUCCGUAACUUCGGGAGAAGGAGUGCCUUAUUUAUAAGGUUGCAAUAACAAGAUCCAAGCAACUGUUUACCAAAAACACAGGUCUCCGCUAAGUCGUAAGACGAUGUAUGGGGGCUGACGCCUGCCCAGUGCCAGAAGGUUAAAGAAGUUGGUUAGCAUUCGCGAAGCUGAUAACUGAAGCCCUGGUGAACGGCGGCCGUAACAAUAACGGUCCUAAGGUAGCGAAAUUCCUUGUCGGGUAAGUUCCGACCCGCACGAAAGGCGUAAUGAUUUGGAUACUGUCUCGGAGAGAGGCUCGGUGAAAUAGACUUGUCUGUGAAGAUGCGGACUACCUGCACCUGGACAGAAAGACCCUAUGAAGCUUUACUGUAACUUGAAAUUGAAAUUGGACUUUAGUCGCGCAGCAUAGGUGGGAGGCGUUGAGAAUAUUCUUGCGGGAAUAUAGGAGCCAUCAGUGAGAUACCACUCUUCUAAUGUUAGAUUUCUAACCUUGAACCAUUAUCUGGUCAAGGAACAGUUUCAGGCGGGCAGUUUGACUGGGGCGGUCGCCUCCCAAAUGGUAACGGAGGCGUACAAAGGUUUCCUCUGAACGGAUAGAAAUCGUAUCUAGAGUAUAAAGGCAUAAGGAAGCUUGACUGUGAGACUUACAAGUCGAGCAGGGACGAAAGUCGGUCUUAGUGAUCUGACGGUACUGAGUGGAAAGGCCGUCACUCAACGGAUAAAAGUUACUCUAAGGAUAACAGGCUGAUCUCCCCCAAGAGUUCACAUCGACGGGGAGGUUUGGCACCUCGAUGUCGGCUCAUCGCAUCCUGGGGCGGUAGUACGUCCCAAGGGUUGGGCUGUUCGCCCAUGAAAGCGGUACGCGAGCUGGGUUCAGAACGUCGUGAGACAGUUCGGUCCAUAUCCGGUGUAGGCGUUAGAAUAUUGAGAGGAGCCUUCUUUAGUACGAGAGGACCGAGAAGGACAUACCUCUGGUGUACCAGUUAUCGUGCCAACGGUAAACGCUGGGUAGCUAUGUAUGGAGUGGAUAACCGCUGAAAGCAUCUAAGUGGGAAGCCCACCUCAAGAUGAGUAUUCUCAC
RNAcentral lists this ribosomal RNA (1244 nucleotides) under metagenome. RNAcentral describes it as "bacterial LSU rRNA". It matches the Rfam family "Bacterial large subunit ribosomal RNA", at positions 1564 to 2817 of the family's 2925-position model. The record is from RNAcentral.